Molecule: ribosomal RNA, 433 nt
Filed under: uncultured bacterium
Lineage: Bacteria
Description: partial 16S ribosomal RNA
Rfam family: Bacterial small subunit ribosomal RNA
Source: RNAcentral
AACGAACGCUGGCGGCAUGCCUAACACAUGCAAGUCGAACGAGACCUUCGGGUCUAGUGGCGCACGGGUGCGUAACGCGUGGGAACCUUCCCUUAGGUUCGGAAUAAUUCUUCGAAAGGGGUGCUAAUAUCGGAUAAUGUCUUCGGACAAAAGAUUUAUCGCCUUUGUAUGGGCCCGCGUUGGAUUAGCUAGUUGGUAGGGUAAAAGCCUACCAAGGGGUCGAUCCAUAGCUGGUCUGAGAGAAGGAGCCGCCACACUGGGGGUAGGCCACGGCCCGGACUCCUAGGGGAGGCGGGCGUGGGGAAUAUAGGACAAGGGGCGAAAGCCAGAACGACCAAGGCCGGGGGAGUCAUGAAGGCCGGAGGGUUGAAAAGCUCUUUUACCCGGGGUUAUAAUGACGGUACCGGAAGAAUAAGCACCGGCUAACUUCGUG